CCUUGGCCGGAAACAGAAUCACG
This 23-nucleotide non-coding RNA is filed under the name Cricetulus griseus (Chinese hamster). The record is from RNAcentral. Lineage: Eukaryota; Metazoa; Chordata; Mammalia; Rodentia; Cricetidae.